GGACGGGUAGCUCAGUUGGUAGAGCAACGGCCUGAAAAGCCGUGUGUCGCCGGUUCAACUCCGGCCCCGUCCA
RNAcentral lists this transfer RNA (73 nucleotides) under Bacteroidota bacterium. RNAcentral describes it as "Bacteroidetes bacterium (activated sludge metagenome) tRNA-Phe". It matches the Rfam family "tRNA". From Rfam's summary of the family: Transfer RNA (tRNA) molecules are approximately 80 nucleotides in length. Their secondary structure includes four short double-helical elements and three loops (D, anti-codon, and T loops). The record is from RNAcentral. Lineage: Bacteria; Pseudomonadati; Bacteroidota.